RNAcentral lists this long non-coding RNA (7880 nucleotides) under Panax ginseng (ginseng). RNAcentral's name for it is "long non-coding RNA (PGIN_LNC004176)". The record is from RNAcentral. Lineage: Eukaryota; Viridiplantae; Streptophyta; Magnoliopsida; Apiales; Araliaceae.
UCCAUUUACAAAUGACUAACACUGUCAGUCGAAUAAUUUUAGCCAAAAGAAUUUCAAACAAAUAAGGCUGAAUCAAAUGGUUGUAAGAUAACAAUUUCAUACUGAACUCAAAUACAAAUAGCCAAAGGCUAACAAAAUACAUCGGUACCAUGAUGUAUACAAAUCAAAUAGGAUAGUACGCACGACACAUACGUCACUAAUCCGUCAAACAAAUCGAAUCAAAUCAAAUACUGGGUCGACCCAUACGUAUCCUGAACAAAUAUAUCAAAUGGUCAAAGCUCAUACCCAGAACAUACAAAAGGAUACGUCGUGGACUAAUCACACCGCCACGGAAGGUGUCAUGCCCUUGUGUCAAAAGGACAUGCCUGUGGUACCCCCACAGGUGGUUAGCUCAAGUAUACCCUAAGGAUCAAACUACAAAAUGUAAGCCAAAAGGGGUUCAAAUCACAGGGUUUACAUAACCAUAUUCAAAUGAAAUCGAAUUAUCAAAUACAAACAAUAUUAAUUAUCCCAAUAUAUCAAUGAUCAAAAAUAACUCCUGAAUGUGAACAAAAAUAUAUGAACAAUGGUACAAACGAAUAAAGUCUCCAAAACAUAUUGACACGAUUAACUAGUUUCAAGAGUACAAAUACGAAUUAUAAUAUCAACGCCAAAACGAAAUUGUCUCAAUAAUUUUGACAACAAAGAAUAAUCCGGAGGGGCAAUACCAAAUCUCUAAACGAAUACAAAACGAACGAAUUAAAUUUAAAAGAGUAUCGUUGAAAAAGUACGAAAUCCGCACCUUAAUAUAGCACCAAAAUAAUUCGCCGAAUCCAAAUAUCACCUGCUAAACUCCCUCAAUCCGAUCUAAUUAUCAAAAUAAAAUAUAAUACACAAUUAAAUUACUUAUUAAUAACUAUAAUUUCUAAUAACAGGAAAUUAUUUCUCAAUUUACAUCAGUUUUACAAGAUAAAUUUAAACUAAAUUACUAUUGAUUUUAUUUUAUCACUUUUCUUUUGAUUUUGACCAUUCAGCCUCCUUAAGCUUAUAUAUAUAAUAUGUAUCAUUUAGUAAUAAUGUAGAACCUAUAAUCUUGAUCAUGAUAACGAAUUCUUUAUUAAUAUAUAUAUAUCUCUCUCUCUCUUUUUAAAACUAAUCAGAACAUUGCCUUCAUAUUAUUCAUUCACAAUUUGCGACAGUGAUCAUACAUAUACACAUGCACCCUAUGCUCAGACUCUCAUUCAAUUGAAAGGAAUAAUAAUAACUUACCAGUUGAUCCAAUUUCCCUUCCCUUUGCUUAGCGGCGGCUGAGAUCCUCUUCUCUUUUUUUUUUCUCUUCCUCCCGUCGAUUUGUAUUAGAAGUAAUGAAGCAGUUAGGUUUUGGUUUAUUUAUUAAUUAAUAUGUUUUAUUAAUACUCUUAAUUUUACUAGGAUUUAAAAUUACACAAUUAUAAUUUAUACCCAAUUAAUUUAAAAGCCCAAAUUAAUUAUUUUUAAAUAUUUAUUUAAAUAUUAUUAUUAUUAUUUUAUUUUAUUUUUCGGGUAUUACAUCACCUUCCCCUUAAAAAGGAUUCCGUCCCCGGAAUCAAAAGAAUAGAACAUACCUAAUUUUCAAAAAGAUGCGGAUAUUCCGCUCGAAUAGACUCCUCCAUCUCCCAAGUAGCUUCUCGCUCCGAAUGGUUUUUUCAUAAUACUUUAACAAAAAGAAUUGUCUUCCUCCUCAUAAUCCGUUCUUGACGAUCUAGAAUCGCCUCGGCUUCUUCCUCACAAGUAAGAUCUUCUUGAAUCUUAUGUAACGGGUAUUGCACAACAUGAAACGGAUGAUAAUUAUAUUUCCUUAACACUGAAACAUGAAAGACAUUAUGCACAUGAGAUAACUGUGGAGACAAAGCCACCCGAUAUGCCACUUCUCCAACUCUCUCAAGAACUUCAAAAGGGCCAACGAAACGCGGACUAAGCUUUCCUUUCAAACCAAACCUUCGAACACCUUUCCAUGGAGAAACUUUCAAAAACACGUGUUCAUCAGGCGUGAAUUCAAGAGCCCUCCUAUAAAUAUCAGCAUAACUCUUUUGCCGCGAUCGAGCUUCUUUCAAUUUUUCUUUAGCCACUGCUAUCUUCUCCGUAGUAAUCCUAACCAAAUCGGGUCCUUCUAUUACCCUUUCUCCAACCUCAUCCCAACAAGUCGGAGCUCGACACUUCUUACCAUAUAAUGCUUCAAAAGGAGCCAUACCAAUACUAGCUUGCCAACUAUUAUUAUAUGCAAACUCCACCAAACUCAAAUAAUCAUCCCAGUUUCCUGUCCACUCUAAAGCACAAGAUCGCAACAUGUCUUCUAAUGUCUGAAUAGUUCUCUCUGAUUGUCCAUCUGUCUGCGGAUGAAAAGCUGUAUUAUAGUUGAGUCGCGUUCCCCAAGCUCGUUGAAAUCCUUUCCAAAUUCGAGAAGUAAACCGCGGAUCCCGAUCCGAAACAAUAGAAACUGGAGUUCCAUGAAGCCUAACAAUCUCACGUUGAAAAAUAUCUGUUAACUUAUUUACCGAAAAAUCUUCACGAAUAGACAAAAAAUGAGCCGAUUUAGUCAAACGAUCCACUACCACCCAAAUAGUAUCAUUCUUUUUAAGAGUCCUCGGCAACCCAGUCAGAAAGUCCAUUGAAAUGUCAUCCCAUUUCCACACAGGAAUCUCUAACUGUUGCAACAAACCACCAGGUCGUUGAUGCUCUAUCUUCACUUGCUGACAAGUAAGACAUUUACUCACAAAUUCAGCUACAUCCCUUUUCAUUCCACUCCACCAAAAAUUCUCCUUCAGAUCCUUAUACAUCUUUGUAGACCCCGGAUGAAUAGAAAAUGGCGAACUAUGAGCUUCAGUCAACACUGCCUCACGAAUCAUUGGAUCUACUGGAACACAUAACCGUUUACCAAACCAUAUCACACCUUGUUCAUCAAUGUGAAACUCUGGUUGCCUACCCUCAUCCAUAUUCUGCGCUAUAGUCCACAACUCGCCAUCCUCCUUUUGGGCUUCCUUGAUACGCAAAAUAAGAGAAGGUUCCACCCUCAUACCUGCUACCAACCCAUCAGAACCUCUAGUAUAUAGCUCCAAAUCCACACGCUCUAUAUCCGAGAUAAGUUGAGGUUGUGUAACCAAGGCAGAUACACUCCCUGAACUCUUCCGGCUAAGAGCAUCUGCAACCACAUUAGCCUUAUCGGGGUGAUACUGAAUCCUGGUAUCAUAAUCCUUGAGAAGCUCCAACCAACGCCUCUGUCUCAUGUUAAGCUCCUUCUGAGUAAAAAUAUAUUUAAGGCUCUUGUGGUCGGUGAAAAUGUCACAAGUCUCUCCAUAUAGAUAGUCUCCAAAUCUUUAGGGCAAAAAUAACUGCUGCUAACUCCAAGUCGUGGGUAGGAUAAUUCACCUCAUAAGGUUUAAGUUGUCUGGAAGCAUAAACAAUUACCUUACCAUGUUGCAUCAAAACGCACCCUAAUCCCUUCUUAGAAGCAUCACUGCAAAUCUGAUAACCUCCUAUCCCCGACGGUAAUGUAAGCACUGGAGCCGACACAAGUCUCUUCUUAAGCUCCUCAAAACUUUUCUCACGUUCCUCAUUCCACACAAAUUUUAUGCCCUUCUUCAUCAACUGAGUUAAUGGCAAAGCUAACAAAGAGAAACCUUCCACAAAUCGCCUGUAGUACCCUACCAAACCCAAGAAACUCCUUAUUUCAGUUACCGUGGUAGGUCUUGGCCAAUUAGUGAUAGCCUCAACCUUCGCAGGAUCCACCUUAAUACCUUCAGCAGACACGACAUGUCCCAAAAAUGCUACCUGUUCUAACCAAAACUCGCAUUUGGAGAACUUAGCAUAUAACUUAUUCUUCUGCAGAACCCCCAAAAUAGUACGAAGAUGUUCUUCAUGUUCCUCCUUAGACUUGGAAUACACCAAAAUGUCAUCAAUGAAGACAAUGACAAAUUGGUCAAAAUACUCGCUAAAAACCCGAUUCAUCAUACCCAUAAACACUGCCGGAGCAUUAGUCAACCCAAAUGACAUCACCAAAAACUCAUAGUGCCCAUACCGAGUACGAAAAGCUGUUUUUGGAAUGUCCUCUUCCCUCACCCUCAACUGAUGGUACCCCGACCUCAAAUCUAUCUUUGAGAAGAACUUUACCCCCUUGGAACUGAUCGAAAAGGUCAUCUAUCCGUGGCAAUGGAUAUCUGUUCCUGAUAGUGAUCCGAUUUAGCUCCCUAUAAUCUAUACACAAUCUCAUAGAUCCUUCCUUCUUCUUCACAAACAACACUGGAGCACCCCAUGACGAUACACUCGGUCUAAUGAAUCCACGAUCUAACAACUCCUGCAAUUGUUCCUUCAACUCCUGUAACUCUAACGGAGCCAUUCUAUAGGGUGCCUUAGAGAUAGGUUCCGCUCCAGGAAUGAGCUCAAUAGUAAACUCAACUUCCCUUGGCGGUGGCAAUCCUGGCAGAUCCUUAGGAAAUACCUCAGGAAAUUCUCGCACAACUGGAUAGUCAUCAAGUUGGGGCUCAUCCCUCGAGGUAUCCUUCAUAUAAGCCAAAUAGCAGUCAUGUCCCUUAGAAAUCAUUUUGCUCGCCUUCAAAGCUGAGAUCAACUUUAUAACACCAUUCGGCUUGGAACAUUGAAACUCGAAUUCUGGAGCCUCUAAGGUUCCAAAAAUAACCUUCCUCGCCUGACAAUCAAUAGUGGCUCGAUGCUUACUCAGCCAAUCCAUACCCAAGAUGAUAUCGAAAUCAUGCAUCACCAUCGGAAGUAAGUUAGCUGCGUACACCCUCCUCCCUAACUUCAAAGGACACUCACGAAAUUGCUCAGAAAUAAUCACAGAAUUCCCCAUCGGGGUAGCAAUAGAUAAAUGAGGAUCUAAUAUAUGAGAAGGUACUCCAAGAUGACGAAUAAAUGAAAGUGCAACAAUAGAGUGUGUAGAUCCAGUGUCAAACAAAACUGAUGCCUCACGAUUUCCUACAAGAAGGAUGCCUGAAAUAGUACCUGGUGCUUGGGCCGCCUGAUUAGCUGUCAAUGCAAAUACUCUCCCACCGGCGUUGCGCUGACCGCCAUUACAAACAUUAUCUCCUCCCUCAUUACCACGCUGAACUGUGCAGUCCCUUGCUCUAUGUCCCAUCUGUCCACAUAAGAAACAAGCCCCUGUAUUUCUAUAGCACGCCCUACCAGCAUGAUACCCACCACAAGUAGCACAUGGAGUAGGUGGAAGUGGCAAAAGGUUUGGAUUGCCCCCACCUGCCGGUCCUGGAUACCGCCCUUGGAUUUGACCCUGUUGGCGAUGCUGACCCUGAUUCUGAUUUUGCUGGAAACCCCUGUUCUGUUGAAAUCCCCUAUUUUGAUACUGCCCUCCAGCUUGCCACUGACCCUGCUGCUGACCUCCACGACCACCCUGCUGUAUUGGGUAAGCAAAAUCCCUUCGAGGAUUAAACCGCUGACCUGAUGGAGGCUCAUUCCAGUUAUUUUGCCUUCUAUUCUGAUUUCUACCAAACUGUCUCAUUCCUUGCCCUUGAUGGUCAUCUCUAUCUCUCUUUCGACUCCCUUCUGUUUUGGAAGCUCGAAAGUCCUUGUGUUCCAUUUCCACACUCUUAGUUGUAUUAGCCACCUGUGAUACAUCUGUAAAUAUGGUGUGGAUGAUCGAUUGCCUAUACUCAUAUUUCAAGGCCCAUUUGAACUUUUCUGCAUGUUGUGCAGCUGUCGCAGCUAUUGAUCCCGCAAAACCAGCCAAUCUCGUAAACCUCGCUAUGAAAUCAGUAAUAGUCUCAUCAUCCUUCUGCCGAAUGGACACAAAUUCCCUGAUGUAUGCAUCCCUAUCAGCAUUUGGGAAAUACUGCUGAUAGAAAAGGUCACAAAAUCCGCUCCAUAUGAGCCCAUCCAUAAAUUCAUCUCCUUGUGUAGCCUUCAACGAUUUCCACCAUCGUUACGCAUCAUCCUCUAGCUUAUAAAUUGCUAACCUCACCUUCUGAUUUUCUGAACGCCCAAUCACAUCAAAAAUCUUCUCCAAGUGGGCGAUCCAGUUCUCCGCAUCAAUUGGAGUCGGAGCAAAACGAAAAGAAUUGGGCUUCUGCUUAAUGAACCUCUCUAAUAACACAUACAACGGCUGCACUUGUUGACCCACUUGAUCCUCGGGAGGAACAUUCUGCUCAUGUUGUGGUAUCUCAUCAUCAUCCCCCAUGCCAUUUGCAUGUUGAUUUCCUUGCAUCUGCGGAAUACCCUGCAUAGCCUGUGCCACAGCCUGCGUAACUGCCUCAUUCACCAUUGUUGCAACCAUAGCCGGGGUUAUUAUUGCAUUACCCUGGGCCCCAUCAUUUCCACCCUAGUUAACAGCCACAACCUGGGGCUGCCUCUGACCCCUCCUACCGUUAGUACCAACCUGCCUCCCAGUAAUUCUCGAAGACUUACGCGCCAUCUACGAUACAAAAUCAAACAGACGAGAACAAACAAAUCAAAACAAAUAAUCAAGGCCAAAUUUAUGCAGAACGAAAAUCAAACGCAAUACAAAUCUUAUAACUACCCAGUGGUCUACCCAUAGCUCGCAGGUCAAGCCUAAAAGGCAAUCUACAAGAUCAUAACCUAAGCUCUGAUACCAACUCUGUAACACCCCCUUUCCCAAAAGGAAAAAGGGAUGUCACGCACAAACAUAAUAAAUACAAAUCUCUAAUAAACCUCAAAAUAUCUCCAAUAAAAUUUAAUACUAAAUGUCACAUACUCCAAUUUAAAUGAAUGAACUCCACAUUUACAUAGUCUCUACUAAGAAUAAAUAAAUAUCAAAAUAGACCCCAAAACAUCCAGUUACAAAAUCUUAAGAAAACUAAGUCUAAUAAUAAUCUCAAAAGCUAAUCUACUCAUUUGGAUCAAAGGUAGCUCUCAUCUCACAAAUCCUGAUCACCCCUGAUUACCUGCCGGAAAAAGAACACAGCGUGAGCCAAUUGCCCAGUACGGAUAUGAAGAUGAAUAAAUAUAUCACAAUAAAUAAUGAAUCUAAAUGAGUUAAAUAAAUGAACACAUGUGAAUUACAAAUGAAUUAUGAAUAUAUCAAAAUUUGAGAGUCCAUUUACAAAUGACUAACACUGUCAGUCGAAUAAUUUUAGCCAAAAGAAUCUCAAACAAAUAAGGCUGAAUCAAAUGGUUGUAAGAUAACAAUUUCAUACUGAGCUCAAAUACAAAUAGCCAAAGGCUAACAAAAUACAUCGGUACCAUGAUGUAUACAAAUCAAAUCGGAUAGUACGCACGACACAUACGUCACUAAUCCGCCAAACAAAUCGAAUCAAAUCAAAUACUGGGUCGACCCAUACGUAUCCUGAACAAAUAUAUCAAAUGGCCAAAGCUCAUACCCAGAGCAUACAAAAGGAUACGCCGUGGACUAAUCACACCGCCACGGAAGGUGUCAUGCCCUUGUGUCAAGAGGACAUGCCUGUGGUACCCCCACAGGUGGUUAGCUCAAGUAUACCCUAAGGAUCAAACUACAAAAUGUAAGCCAAAAGGGGUUCAAAUCACAAGGCUUACAUGACCAUAUUCAAAUGAAAUCGAAUUAUCAAAUACAAACAAUAUUAAUUAUCCCAAUAUAUCAAUGAUAAAAAAUAACUCAUGAAUGUGAACAAAAAUAUACGAACAAUGGUACAAACGAAUAAAGUCUCCAAAACAUAUUGACACGAUUAACUAGUUUCAAGAGUACAAAUACGAAUUAUAAUAUCAACGCCAAAGCGAAAUUGUCUCAAUAAUUUUGACAACAAAGAAUAAUCCGGAGGGGCAAUACCAAAUCUCUAAACGAAUAGAAAACGAACGAAUUAAAUUUAAAAGAGUAUCGUUGAAAAAGUACGAAAUCCGUACCUUAAUAUAGCACCAAAAUAAUUCUCCGAAUCCAAAUAUCACCCGCUAAACUCCAUCAAUCCGAU